UACGAGCGGCCCAAACGUUAUUCGGAAUUACUGGGCUUAAAGAGUUCGUAGGCGGCGCAGAAAGUAGGGUGUGAAAGCCCUCGGCUCAACCGAGGAAUUGCGCUCUAAACUACUGUGCUUGAGGAAUCUAGAGGUGAGCGGAACUGAUGGUGGAGCGGUGAAAUGCGUUGAUAUCAUCAGGAACACCGGAGGCGAAGGCGGCUCACUGGGGAUUUUCUGACGCUGAGGAACGAAAGCCAGGGGAGCGAACGGG
Molecule: ribosomal RNA, 253 nt
Filed under: uncultured bacterium
Lineage: Bacteria
Description: partial 16S ribosomal RNA
Rfam family: Bacterial small subunit ribosomal RNA
Source: RNAcentral